UGGGGAAUAUUGGACAAUGGGGGCAACCCUGAUCCAGCCAUGCCGCGUGUGUGAAGAAGGCUUUCGGGUUGUAAAGCACUUUAAGUCGGGAGGAAGGCUAUAACGUUAAUAGCGUUGUAGAUUGACGUUACCGACAGAAUAAGCACCGGCUAACUCCGUGCCAGCAGCCGCGGUAAUACGGAGGGUGCAAGCGUUAAUCGGAAUUACUGGGCGUAAAGCGCGCGUAGGCGGUUUGCUAAGCCAGAUGUGAAAGCCCCGGGCUCAACCUGGGAACUGCAUUUGGAACUGGCAGGCUAGAGUACGGUAGAGGGUGGUAGAAUUUCCUGUGUAGCGGUGAAAUGCGUAGAUAUAGGAAGGAAUACCGGUGGCGAAGGCGGCCACCUGGACUGAUACUGACGCUGAGGUGCGAAAGCGUGGGGAGCGAACAGGAUUAGAUACCCCCGUAGUCC
This 449-nucleotide ribosomal RNA is filed under the name uncultured prokaryote. Its description in RNAcentral is "bacterial SSU rRNA". It matches the Rfam family "Bacterial small subunit ribosomal RNA", at positions 355 to 796 of the family's 1533-position model. The record is from RNAcentral.